GAUGAACGCUAGCUACAGGCUUAACACAUGCAAGUCGAGGGGCAGCAGGGCGAUAGCUUGCUAUUGCCGCUGGCGACCGGCGCACGGGUGAGUAACGCGUAUCCAACCUUCCCCUUAGUAGAGGAUAGCCCGGCGAAAGUCGGAUUAAUACUCUAUGUUGUAUUUUGAUGACAUCUGAGGAAUACCAAAGGUUCACCGCUAUGGGAUGGGGAUGCGUCUGAUUAGGUUGUUGGCGGGGUAACGGCCCACCAAGCCUGCGAUCAGUAGGGGUUCUGAGAGGAAGGUCCCCCACAUUGGAACUGAGACACGGUCCAAACUCC
RNAcentral lists this ribosomal RNA (320 nucleotides) under uncultured Prevotella sp. RNAcentral describes it as "bacterial SSU rRNA". It matches the Rfam family "Bacterial small subunit ribosomal RNA", at positions 28 to 339 of the family's 1533-position model. Lineage: Bacteria; Pseudomonadati; Bacteroidota; Bacteroidia; Bacteroidales; Prevotellaceae. The record is from RNAcentral.